This 318-nucleotide ribosomal RNA is filed under the name Triticum aestivum (bread wheat). RNAcentral describes it as "partial small subunit ribosomal RNA". The record is from RNAcentral. Lineage: Eukaryota; Viridiplantae; Streptophyta; Magnoliopsida; Poales; Poaceae.
AUGCAGGGUAUGGCCCUUGCUAUCCAGCACUGUGAACUACAUAUCAUAGUCCAGUUGGACUCUUCUGUCGCCUUCUCCGCUUUGUCUGGUGACAUCUUAUCCAGAUCUGCCUACAUGCAUCUAGUCGCUGAGAUUCGUCAUCUUAUGGUAGAUAGAGUUUUCAUUCCCUUGAAAAUUAGUCGUGUGCAGAACAGGGUAGCAGAUCGUUUGGCCCUGUAUAGUCGUACAGGGAUCACUACUGAUGUAUGGCUGGGACGAGGUCCACCAUGUGUUGAGGAACUCUUGCCUCUUGAUUGUAACCCUAUGCAUAUGGAAUAA